Molecule: non-coding RNA, 169 nt
Filed under: uncultured Clostridium sp.
Lineage: Bacteria; Bacillati; Bacillota; Clostridia; Eubacteriales; Clostridiaceae
Description: Lysine riboswitch
Rfam family: Lysine riboswitch aptamer
About the family: Riboswitches are metabolite binding domains within certain messenger RNAs that serve as precision sensors for their corresponding targets. Allosteric rearrangement of mRNA structure is mediated by ligand binding, and this results in modulation of gene expression.
Source: RNAcentral
GGGGUAGAGGUGCGAAAUUUAAGAGUAAAGUUGCGGAGUUAAGCGCAUUGAAACAACUUAAAAGGAAAUUUCGCCGAAGUGUUUAGCUAAUGCUUUAAUGCUGAACAACUGGGCUUGUAUAAAAUAUGUACAAGACUGUCACAAUAUUUUAAUUUGUGGAGAGCUAUCA